GAUGAACGCUGGCGGCGUGCCUAAUACAUGCAAGUCGAGCGAACAGACGAGGAGCUUGCUCCUUUGACGUUAGCGGCGGACGGGUGAGUAACACGUGGGUAACCUACCUAUAAGACUGGGAUAACUUCGGGAAACCGGAGCUAAUACCGGAUAAUAUUUCGAACCGCAUGGUUCGAUAGUGAAAGAUGGCUUUGCUAUCACUUAUAGAUGGACCUGCGCCGUAUUAGCUAGUUGGUAAGGUAACGGCUUACCAAGGCAACGAUACGUAGCCGACCUGAGAGGGGGGAACGGCAAAACGGAACUGGGACAAGGGCCAAAACCCCAAGGGAAGGAAGAAGAGGGAAAUCUCCCGAAAGGGGGGAAAGCCGAAGGAAGAAAGGCGGCGGGGGGAAGGAAGGCUUCGGGACGGAAAAACCCUGUAAUAGGGAAGAAUAAACGUGUAAGUAACUGUGCACGUCUUGACGGUACCUAAUCAGAAAACCACGGCUAACUACGU
Molecule: ribosomal RNA, 496 nt
Filed under: uncultured bacterium
Lineage: Bacteria
Description: partial 16S ribosomal RNA
Rfam family: Bacterial small subunit ribosomal RNA
Source: RNAcentral